AGUUGUAAUUUGUAGAGGAAGCUUUUGGUGCGGCACCUACUGAGUCCCCUGGAACGGGGCGCCAUAGAGGGUGAGAGCCCCGUAUAGUAGGACGCCUAUCCUUUGUAAAGCUCCUUCGACGAGUCGAGUAGUUUGGGAAUGCUGCUCAAAAUGGGAGGUAAAUUUCUUCUAAAGCUAAAUAUUGGCCAGAGACCGAUAGCGCACAAGUAGAGUGAUCGAAAGAUGAAAAGCACUUUGAAAAGAGGGUUAAACAGCACGUGAAAUUGUUGAAAGGGAAGCGCUUGUGACCAGACAUGCGGCGGGCUGAUCAUCCGGUGUUCUCACCGGUGCACUCUGCCCGCCUCAGGCCAGCAUCGGUUCUCGCGGGGGGAUAAAGGCCUUGGGAACGUAGCUCCUCCGGGAGUGUUAUAGCCCAGGGUGCAAUGCCCUCG
RNAcentral lists this ribosomal RNA (431 nucleotides) under Podospora sp. 6805-S6. Its description in RNAcentral is "eukaryotic LSU rRNA". It matches the Rfam family "Eukaryotic large subunit ribosomal RNA", at positions 141 to 579 of the family's 3401-position model. The record is from RNAcentral. Lineage: Eukaryota; Fungi; Ascomycota; Sordariomycetes; Sordariales; Podosporaceae.